Molecule: non-coding RNA, 317 nt
Organism: Paramuricea clavata
Lineage: Eukaryota; Metazoa; Cnidaria; Anthozoa; Malacalcyonacea; Plexauridae
Source: the annotation of a GenBank genome assembly
UGCUAUUAUGUUUCUUUAUAGUAGCUUUUUACCGAUACACGUAAAUAUCUCACAACUUGUCAACAAGAUAUGUUCACAACAGGCUUGUAGCAAGCUUGUCAACAAGUUGUAACAAUGCUGUUAUUUUAUCAAGUUGCUUCAAGCCUGUCACUCACAACUUGUUGACAAAUUGUUGAAUUGCAGGACGAUAACAAGUUGUUGGAACAACUUGUAACAAGUCUGUUGAACUCAACAACCUUGUAGCAAGUUGUCAACAAGCCGUUGACAACUUGUCAACAAGCUGGGAACAAGCAGUGCGAACACAUCCUGUUGACAAG